UAUACUUCCAAGAAAAGCUUGCACUGUCAUAGAUAAAAAACGCCUGUACCAUAACCGACACAGGUGGGUAGGUAGAGUAUACUAAGGGGCGCGAGAUAACUCUCUCUAAGGAACUCGGCAAAAUAACUCCGUAACUUCGGGAGAAGGAGUGCCUUAUUCUUAAGGUUGCAAUAACAAGAUCCAAGCAACUGUUUAUCAAAAACACAGGUCUCCGCUAAGUCGUAAGACGAUGUAUGGGGGCUGACGCCUGCCCAGUGCCAGAAGGUUAAAGAAGCUGGUUAGCAUUUGCGAAGCUAGUAACUGAAGCCCUGGUGAACGGCGGCCGUAACGAUAACGGUCCUAAGGUAGCGAAGUUCCUUGUCGGGUAAGUUCCGACCCGCACGAAAGGCGUAAUGAUUUGGAUACUGUCUCGGAGAGGGGCUCGGUGAAAUAGACUUGUCUGUGGAGAUGCGGACUACCUGCACCAGGACAGAAAGACCCUAUGAAGCUUUACUGUAACUUGAAAUUGAAAUUGGACUUUAUUCGCGCAGUAUAGGUGGGAGGCGUUGAUUAUAAUCUUGCGGGAUUAUUGGAGCCAUUAGUGAGAUACCACUCUUGUAAUGUUAGAUUUCUAACUUUGAAUCAUUAUCUGGUCAAAGAACAGUUUCAGGCGGGCAGUUUGACUGGGGCGGUCGCCUCCCAAACGGUAACGGAGGCGUACAAAGGUUUCCUCUGAACGGUUAGAAAUCGUAUCUAGAGUGUAAAGGCAUAAGGAAGCUUGACUGUGAGACCUACAAGUCGAGCAGUGACGAAAGUCGGUCUUAGUGAUCUGACGGUACUGAGUGGAAAGGCCGUCACUCAACGGAUAAAAGUUACUCUAGGAUAACAGGCUGAUCUCCCCCAAGAGUUCACAUCGACGGGGAGGUUUGGCACCUCGAUAUCGGCUCAUCGCAUCCUGGGGCGGUAGUACGUCCCAAGGGUUGGGCUGUUCGCCCAUGAAAGCGGUACGCGAGCUGGGUUCAGAACGUCGUGAGACAGUUCGGUCCAUAUCCGGUGUAGGCGUUAGAAUAUUGAGAGGAGCCUUCUUUAGUACGAGAGGACCGAGAAGGACAUACCUCUGGUGUACCAGUUAUCGUGCCAACGGUAGACGCUGGGUAGCUAUGUAUGGAGUGGAUAACCGCUGAAAGCAUCUAAGUGGGAAGCCCACCUCAAGAUAAGUAUUCUC
RNAcentral lists this ribosomal RNA (1204 nucleotides) under metagenome. Its description in RNAcentral is "bacterial LSU rRNA". It matches the Rfam family "Bacterial large subunit ribosomal RNA", at positions 1601 to 2815 of the family's 2925-position model. The record is from RNAcentral.